UGGGGAAUUUUGGACAAUGGGGGCAACCCUGAUCCAGCCAUGCCGCGUGAGUGAAGAAUGCCUUCGGGUUGUCAAGCUCUUUCAGCCGGGAAGAAAACGCAUGGGUUAAUACCCUGUGUGGAUGACGGUACCGUCAUAAUAAUCACCGGCUAACUACGUGCCCGCCGCCGCGGUAAUACGUAGGGUGCGAGCGUUAAUCGGAAUUACUGUUCGUAAACCUGGCGCAGUCGUGUUUGUAAGACAGGCUUGAAAUCCCCGGGCUCAACCUGGGAACUGCGUUUGUGACUGAAAGGCUAGAGUAUGGCAGAGGGGGGGGGAAUUCCAAGUGUAGCAGUGAAAUGAGUAGAGAUGGGGAGGAACACCGAUGGCGAAGGCAGCACCCUGGGCCAAUACUGAAGCUCAUGCACGAAAGCGUGGGUAGCAAACA
Molecule: ribosomal RNA, 427 nt
Filed under: uncultured bacterium
Lineage: Bacteria
Description: bacterial SSU rRNA
Rfam family: Bacterial small subunit ribosomal RNA
Source: RNAcentral